AUUAAUUUAAAUGGCCGCAGUAUCCUAACUGUGCAAAGGUAGCAUAAUCAUUAGUCUUUUAAUUGAAGGCUGGUAUGAAUGGUUGGACGAGGUAUUAACUGUUUCAAAUAAAUUUUUGAUAGAAUUUUAUUUUUUAGUCAAAAAGCUAAAAUAUAUUUAAAAGACGAGAAGACCCUAUAAAUCUUUACUUUUUAAUUAUUUUAAUUAUAAAGAUAAAUUUUAUUAUAAUAAUAAAAAAAGUUUUAUUGGGGUGAUAUUAAAAUUUAAUAAACUUUUAAUUUUUUAAAAACAUAAAUUAAUGAAUAAUUGAUCCAUUAAUGAUGAUUAAAAAUUUAAGUUACUUUAGGGAUAACAGCGUAAUUUUUUUGGAGAGUUCUUAUCGAUAAAAAAGAUUGCGACCUCGAUGUUGGAUUAAGAAAAAUUUUAGGUGCAGUCGCU
RNAcentral lists this ribosomal RNA (438 nucleotides) under Sepsis luteipes. Its description in RNAcentral is "partial 16S ribosomal RNA". It matches the Rfam family "Bacterial large subunit ribosomal RNA", at positions 1917 to 2563 of the family's 2925-position model. Lineage: Eukaryota; Metazoa; Arthropoda; Insecta; Diptera; Sepsidae. The record is from RNAcentral.